This 22-nucleotide microRNA is filed under the name Callithrix jacchus (white-tufted-ear marmoset). RNAcentral's name for it is "cja-miR-9904". The record is from miRBase by way of RNAcentral. Lineage: Eukaryota; Metazoa; Chordata; Mammalia; Primates; Cebidae.
ACUGAAAUUGUAGACUCGGACA